This 496-nucleotide ribosomal RNA is filed under the name uncultured bacterium. RNAcentral describes it as "partial 16S ribosomal RNA". It matches the Rfam family "Bacterial small subunit ribosomal RNA", at positions 28 to 507 of the family's 1533-position model. The record is from RNAcentral.
GAUGAACGCUGGCGGCGUGCCUAAUACAUGCAAGUCGAGCGAACAGACGAGGAGCUUGCUCCUCUGACGUUAGCGGCGGACGGGUGAGUAACACGUGGAUAACCUACCUAUAAGACUGGGAUAACUUCGGGAAACCGGAGCUAAUACCGGAUAAUAUAUUGAACCGCAUGGUUCAAUAGUGAAAGACGGUUUUGCUGUCACUUAUAGAUGGAUCCGCGCCGCAUUAGCUAGUUGGUAAGGUAACGGCUUACCAAGGCAACGAUGCGUAGCCGACCUGAGAGGGUGAUCGGCCACACUGGAACUGAGACACGGGACAGACUCCUACGGGAGGCAGCAGGAGGGAAUCUUCCGCAAGGGCGAAAGCCUGACGGAGCAACGCCGCGUGAGUGAUGAAGGUCUUCGGAUCGUAAAACUCUGUUAUUAGGGAAGAACAAAUGUGUAAGUAACUAUGCACGUCUUGACGGUACCUAAUCAGAAAGCCACGGCUAACUACGUG